GUGCUCGCUUUGGCAGCACAUGUACUAAAAUUGGAAUGAUACAGAGAAAAUUAGCAUGGACCCUGCGCAGGAUGACAUGCAAAUUUAUGAAGCAUUUAAUAAUAAU
This is a small nuclear RNA of Erinaceus europaeus (western European hedgehog), 106 nucleotides long. NCBI's taxonomy places the organism in Eukaryota, Metazoa, Chordata, Mammalia, Eulipotyphla, Erinaceidae. The record is from Ensembl.